UCUAAAACUCGUGAUAUGGGUUGAACACUGAGCAGUGUAUGGGAUGCAGGAUAGAUUUUGACUUUUCUGUUGUUGCUACAAUUUGAACUUGAAAACGGUCCUUUUGAAUCUUAGACUCUUCAUGAAAGUUUUAGGCCUAUGUCUUAGAUUUCUAUC
Molecule: non-coding RNA, 156 nt
Organism: Populus trichocarpa (black cottonwood)
Lineage: Eukaryota; Viridiplantae; Streptophyta; Magnoliopsida; Malpighiales; Salicaceae
Source: Rfam